Molecule: ribosomal RNA, 475 nt
Filed under: uncultured bacterium
Lineage: Bacteria
Description: bacterial SSU rRNA
Rfam family: Bacterial small subunit ribosomal RNA
Source: RNAcentral
GACAAACGCUGGCGGCGUGCUCCAAACAUGCAAGUCAAACGGAGUUUGAGGGAGCUUGCUCCUGAAAACUUAGGGGCGGACGGGUGAGUAACGCGUGACCAAUCUGGCUAUUACAGGGGGAUAACAGUUGGAAACGACUGCUAAUACCGCAUAUGACCACAACCUGACAUCGGGAAGGGGUGAAAGGAGCAAUCCGGUAAUAAAUGAGCUUGCGUCUCAUUACCUAGUUGGUGAGGGUAACGGCCCACCAAGGCAACAAUGAGUAGCCAAUCUGAAAGGAUGACCGGCCACACUGGUAUUGAAAACGGACCAAACUCCUACGGGAGGCAGCAUUUAGGAAUAUUGGGCAAUGGAGGAAACUCUGACCCACCAACGCCGCGUGAAGGAAGAAGGUUUUCGGAUUGUAAACUUCUGAUCUGUGGGAAAAAAAGAAUGACGGUACCACAGGAAAAAGCCACGGCUAACUACGUGCCAC